GACGUAGGGCGCAAGCGUUGUCCGGAUUUAUUGGGCGUAAAGAGCUCGUAGGCGGCCUGUCGCGUCGACCGUGAAAACCCGCAGCUCAACUGCGGGCUUGCGGUCGAUACGGGCAGGCUGGAGUUCGGUAGGGGAGACUGGAAUUCCUGGUGUAGCGGUGAAAUGCGCAGAUAUCAGGAGGAACACCGGUGGCGAAGGCGGGUCUCUGGGCCGAUACUGACGCUGAGAAGCGAAAGCAUGGGGAGCGAACAGG
This 253-nucleotide ribosomal RNA is filed under the name uncultured bacterium. RNAcentral's name for it is "partial 16S ribosomal RNA". It matches the Rfam family "Bacterial small subunit ribosomal RNA", at positions 524 to 776 of the family's 1533-position model. The record is from RNAcentral.